AACCUACCUUAUACUGGGGGAUAGCCUUUGGAAACGGAGAUUAAUACCCCAUAAUAUAAUUUUGUGGCAUCACGAGAUUAUUAAAGAUUUAUCGGUAUAAGCUGGGCAUGCGUCCAAUUAGUUAGUUGGUGAGGUAAUGGCUCACCAAGACUUUGAUUGGUAGGGGAACUGAGAGGUUAAUCCCCCACACUGGCACUGAGAUACGGGCCAGACUCCUACGGGAGGCAGCAGUAGGGAAUAUUGGGCAAUGGAGGCAACUCUGACCCAGCCAUGCCGCGUGCAG
RNAcentral lists this ribosomal RNA (283 nucleotides) under uncultured bacterium. RNAcentral describes it as "partial 16S ribosomal RNA". It matches the Rfam family "Bacterial small subunit ribosomal RNA", at positions 123 to 406 of the family's 1533-position model. The record is from RNAcentral.